This 831-nucleotide ribosomal RNA is filed under the name uncultured bacterium. RNAcentral describes it as "bacterial SSU rRNA". It matches the Rfam family "Bacterial small subunit ribosomal RNA", at positions 93 to 920 of the family's 1533-position model. The record is from RNAcentral.
CAGCGGCGGACGGGUGAGUAAUGCCUAGGAAUCUGCCCGAUAGUGGGGGACAACGUUUCGAAAGGAACGCUAAUACCGCAUACGUCCUACGGGAGAAAGUGGGGGAUCUUCGGACCUCACGCUAUCGGAUGAGCCUAGGUCGGAUUAGCUAGUUGGUGAGGUAAUGGCUCACCAAGGCGACGAUCCGUAACUGGUCUGAGAGGAUGAUCAGUCACACUGGAACUGAGACACGGUCCAGACUCCUACGGGAGGCAGCAGUGGGGAAUAUUGGACAAUGGGCGAAAGCCUGAUCCAGCCAUGCCGCGUGUGUGAAGAAGGUCUUCGGAUUGUAAAGCACUUUAAGUUGGGAGGAAGGGCUGUCGGCUAAUACCCUGCAGUUUUGACGUUACCAACAGAAUAAGCACCGGCUAACUUCGUGCCAGCAGCCGCGGUAAUACGAAGGGUGCAAGCGUUAAUCGGAAUUACUGGGCGUAAAGCGCGCGUAGGUGGUUCAGCAAGUUGGAUGUGAAAGCCCCGGGCUCAACCUGGGAACUGCAUCCAAAACUACUGGGCUAGAGUAUGGUAGAGGGUGGUGGAAUUUCCUGUGUAGCGGUGAAAUGCGUAGAUAUAGGAAGGAACACCAGUGGCGAAGGCGACCACCUGGACUAAUACUGACACUGAGGUGCGAAAGCGUGGGGAGCAAACAGGAUUAGAUACCCUGGUAGUCCACGCCGUAAACGAUGUCAACUAGUUGUUGGGUUCCUUGAGGACUUAGUAACGAAGCUAACGCGAUAAGUUGACCGCCUGGGGAGUACGGCCGCAAGGUUAAAACUCAAAUGAAUUGACGGGGGG